CUUUUCUCUGAAUAAAUAAAUAAAACAGAUCGAAAAAUAAAGAAUGCCGUUGGAAAGGCUACACUGGUGACUGGAAUCGUAUGUGACGGAGCAUCAUUUGUUUACAUGUGAUAGCAGCUGUAGGCUGUAGCGAAGCUCGCCGAAACCACCACAGGGGGCCUUGAAGAUUGGAAACUCUUGGUUCUAGAGGAAGAUUCUUGAAGACACAAGGCACAGGAUGAAGCCGAGCAUGGUGGCUGAUGAAAUGUUCCCUGAGGGUGCAGGACCAUACAUGGACCUGGAUGAGGCUGGAGGGUCAGGUGGCCUCCUGAUGGAUCUGACAGCUAACGAGAAAGCAGUUCAUGCUGAUUUUCACAAUGACUUUGAUGAUCUCUUUGAUGACGAGGACCUGAGCUGAGGGGUGUCUGGGUGAUCUUGAGAGCAUGAGCCAUGCCUGUAGUGGUCUGCUGUUAGACAGGAGAGUCAAAGGAUUAUGUAGAGAUCUUUCAGGGAGUUGAGUGUGAUGGUUUUUUUUUUUUUUUUUGCUAGAUUUUAUUAUCACAUACAAUGAUAUUUUUUGAGUGAUAGAUAUGCUGUAAGCAUCAGCUUAUUGAUGUGUUAUGUAAUGUAUCAUGCACUUUGUGAAUUAACCUGCUCUGAUUUAGAGGUCAUAUAAGUAUAUAGAUGCAUUUUUCUUUUAAAAAAUUCACUAAAGUUUCAUCUCAGGACUUGCAAUGGUUAUUUAUAUGGACUGUAUUGCCUUUGAUUAAUAUGAGUGAACCACAUAUGGGUUGAUAGAAGAAGAAAAACAAAUGAAUAAAAUAAAUAAGAUUCAAUAAAUUUUGGAGAGUAAUGUGCAGAA
Long non-coding RNA from Portunus trituberculatus (swimming crab), 841 nucleotides. RefSeq lists it as uncharacterized. The record is from RefSeq and is a predicted model, not a curated record. NCBI's taxonomy places the organism in Eukaryota, Metazoa, Arthropoda, Malacostraca, Decapoda, Portunidae. The transcript is spliced from 3 exons.